RNAcentral lists this ribosomal RNA (366 nucleotides) under Triticum aestivum (bread wheat). RNAcentral describes it as "partial small subunit ribosomal RNA". The record is from RNAcentral. Lineage: Eukaryota; Viridiplantae; Streptophyta; Magnoliopsida; Poales; Poaceae.
CUUCCAUAACUCCCAUCCCAUGUUCCGUGUUUAGGAACAGCCAAUCCAACAAACAAACAAACGGAAACCCCCCGACACGCCCCCAACAGACCGGACGCCGACGCCGAUCCUCUGAAACUUCCGCCUUUUUUUUCCUUCCCAAUCCGCGGUGUGAUUCUUCCUCCCCUCCCCGCGCUGCCUCCCUGAUUUCUUUUCUCCCCACACCCGCCGGAUUCGCCCCCUUCCUUGCGCUCCUCAGCCGUCAUCCUCCCCCAACCGAAAUCCUCUUCGGCGGCGGCGGCGGCGAGCCAGGCCGGCUGGUGCUCUGCUGCCCGCGGGCCGGUAAGGAACCCUAGCUUGACAGCAGAUCGUCUCUCCCCCUAUUGC